Molecule: ribosomal RNA, 500 nt
Filed under: uncultured Halomicronema sp.
Lineage: Bacteria; Bacillati; Cyanobacteriota; Cyanophyceae; Nodosilineales; Nodosilineaceae
Description: bacterial SSU rRNA
Rfam family: Bacterial small subunit ribosomal RNA
Source: RNAcentral
UUUUAACUUUAGUGGCGAACGGGUGCGUAAUACGUGAGAAUCUGCCUUUAGGAGGAGUAUAACUGUGGGAAACGACUGCUAACACUCCAUAUGUCGAGAGAUGAAAUAAUUUAUUGCCUAAAGAUGAGCUCGCGCCUGAUUAGCUAGUUGGUGAGGUAAUGGCUCACCAAGGCCACGAUCAGUAGCUGGUUUGAGAGAACGAUCAGCCACACUGGGACUGAGACACGGCCCAGACUCCUCCGGGAGGCAGCAGUGAGGAAUUUUCCGCAAUGGGCGAAAGCCUGACGGAGCAAUACCGCGUGAGGGAUGAAGGAUUUUGGUCUGUAAACCUCUUUUCUCAAGAAAGAAGUUCUGACGGUACUUGAGGAAUAAGCAUCGGCUAACUCCGUGCCAGCAGCCGCGGUAAUACGGGGGAUGCAAGCGUUAUCCGGAAUCAUUGGGCGUAAAGCGCCUGUAGGUUGUUUAAUAAGUCUGUUGUUAAAGACUAGGGCUCAACCCUA